CUGCGCAGGAAAAGCCCAAA
Molecule: small nuclear RNA, 20 nt
Filed under: Arabidopsis thaliana (thale cress)
Lineage: Eukaryota; Viridiplantae; Streptophyta; Magnoliopsida; Brassicales; Brassicaceae
Description: snRNA_07700
Source: RNAcentral